This is a non-coding RNA of Phlebotomus papatasi, 73 nucleotides long. The record is from Rfam. NCBI's taxonomy places the organism in Eukaryota, Metazoa, Arthropoda, Insecta, Diptera, Psychodidae.
GCCCCCAUAGCUCAGUUGGUAGAGCAUUCGACUAAACAGCGAAAGGACCCCAGUUCAAGUCUGGGUGGAAGUA